RNAcentral lists this ribosomal RNA (433 nucleotides) under uncultured bacterium. RNAcentral's name for it is "partial 16S ribosomal RNA". It matches the Rfam family "Bacterial small subunit ribosomal RNA", at positions 29 to 507 of the family's 1533-position model. The record is from RNAcentral.
AACGAACGCUGGCGGCAUGCCUAACACAUGCAAGUCGAACGAGACAUUCGGGUCUAGUGGCGCACGGGUGCGUAAGGGGAGGGAAGCUGCCCUUAGGUUCGGCCUAACUCCCCGCGAGGGGUGCUAAUACCGGACGAUGGCUAAGGACCAAAGAUUGAUCGCCUUUGGUUGGGCUUGCGUUGGAUUAGCUAGUUGGUAGGGUAAAAGCCUACCAAGGCGACGUUACAUAGCUGGUCUGAGAGGAUGAUCAGACACACUGGGACUGUGACACGGCCCAGACUCCUACGGGAGGAAGCAGUGGGGAAUAUUGGACAAUGGGCGAGAGCCUGAGCCAGCAAUGCCGUGUGGGUGAGGAAGGACUUAGGGUUGUAUAGCUCUUUUACCCGGGAUGAUAAUGACAGUACCGGGAGAAUAAGCGCCGGCUAACUCCGUG